This 225-nucleotide long non-coding RNA is filed under the name Malus domestica (apple). Its description in RNAcentral is "long non-coding RNA (MDOM_LNC020823)". The record is from RNAcentral. Lineage: Eukaryota; Viridiplantae; Streptophyta; Magnoliopsida; Rosales; Rosaceae.
UUGCGGCAUAAGUGUGUCCACCUUUGCCGUGGGUGGGCAUGCUUCCUCCUCCUCAAAUUGAAGUUUUCAUCCUCUUUGUGACCUGUUUUUGAUGAAGAACCUGCCCCAAUCUCUUUUCCACUUCUUAAGAGUAUGGCAUUUGCACUUUCAAAGCCUCCCUUCGGAUUUGGAAUGGUAGAACUAGGAAGCCUUCCUUGGUCUCUAAUCUGCCCAACAACGUCGGCA